GAUCCUGGCUCAGGAUGAACGCUAGCGGCAGGCUUAACACAUGCAAGUCGAGGGGGCAGCAUUCGGGUAGCAAUACCUGAGAUGGCGACCGGCGCACGGGUGCGUAACGCGUAUGCAACCUACCCAUAACAGGGGUCAUAACACUGAGAAAUUGGUACUAAUUCCCCAUAACAUUCGAAGAGGCAUCUUUUACGGGUUGAAAACUCCGGUGGUUAUGGAUGGGCAUGCGUUGUAUUAGCUGGUUGG
RNAcentral lists this ribosomal RNA (246 nucleotides) under uncultured bacterium. RNAcentral's name for it is "partial 16S ribosomal RNA". It matches the Rfam family "Bacterial small subunit ribosomal RNA", at positions 15 to 252 of the family's 1533-position model. The record is from RNAcentral.